GAUGAACGCUGGCGGCGUGCCUAAUACAUGCAAGUCGAGCGAACGGACGAGGAGCUUGCUUCUCUGAUGUUAGCGGCGGACGGGUGAGUAACACGUGGAUACCCUACCUAUAAGACUGGGAUAACUUCGGGAAACCGGCGCUAAUACCGGAUAAUAUUUUGAACCGCAUGGUUCAAAAGUGAAAGACGGUCUUGCUGUCACUUAUAGAUGGAUCCGCGCUGCAUUAGCUAGUUGGUAAGGUAACGGCUUACCAAGGCAACGAUGCAUAGCCGACCUGAGAGGGUGAUCGGCCACACGGGAACGGAGACACGGUCCAGACUCCUACGGGAGGCAGCAGUAGGGAAUCUGCCGCAAUGGGCGAAAGCCUUACGGAGCAACGCCGCGUGAGUGAUGAAGGCCUUCGGAUCGUAAAACUCUGUUAUUAGGGAAGAACAGAUGUGUAAGUAACUGUGCACAUCUUGACGGUACCUAAUCAGAAAGCCACGGCUAACUACGUG
RNAcentral lists this ribosomal RNA (497 nucleotides) under uncultured bacterium. RNAcentral describes it as "partial 16S ribosomal RNA". It matches the Rfam family "Bacterial small subunit ribosomal RNA", at positions 28 to 507 of the family's 1533-position model. The record is from RNAcentral.